CUCCUACUGGAGGCAGCAGUAGGGAAUUUUCGGCAAUGGGGGAAACCCUGACCGAGCAACGCCGCGUGAAGGAAGAAGUAAUUCGUUAUGUAAACUUCUGUCAUAGAGGAAGAACGGUGGAUAUAGGGAAUGAUAUCCAAGUGACGGUACUCUAUAAGAAAGCCACGGCUAACUACGUGCCAGCAGCCGCGGUAAAACGUAGGUCACAAGCGUUGUCCGGAAUUACUGGGUGUAAAGGGAGCGCAGGCGGGAAGACAAGUUGGAAGUGAAAUCUAUGGGCUCAACCCAUAAACUGCUUUCAAAACUGUUUUUCUUGAGUAGUGCAGAGGUAGGCGGAAUUCCCGGUGUAGCGGUGGAAUGCGUAGAUAUCGGGAGGAACACCAGUGGCGAAGGCGGCCUACUGGGCACCAACUGACGCUGAGGCUCGAAAGUGUGGGUAGCAAACAGGAUUAGAUACCCUGGUAGUCCACACCGUAAACGAUGAUUACUAGGUGUUGGAGGAUUGACCCCUUCAGUGCCGCAGUUAACACAAUAAGUAAUCCACCUGGGGAGUACGACCGCAAGGUUGAAACUCAAAGGAAUUGACGGGGGCCCGCACAAGCAGUGGAGUAUGUGGUUUAAUUCGACGCAACGCGAAGAACCUUACCAAGUCUUGACAUCCUGCGACGAUGCUGGAAACAGUAUUUUCCUUCGGGACGCAGAGACAGGUGGUGCAUGGUUGUCGUCAGCUCGUGUCGUGAGAUGUUGGGUUAAGUCCCGCAACGAGCGCAACCCUUACUGUCAGUUACUACGCAAGAGGACUCUGGCAGGACUGCCGUUGACAAAACGGAGGAAGGUGGGGAUGACGUCAAAUCAUCAUGCCCUUUAUGACUUGGGCUACACACGUACUACAAUGGCGUUAAACAAAGAGAAGCAAGACCGCGAGGUGGAGCAAAACUCAGAAACAACGUCCCAGUUCGGACUGCAGGCUGCAACUCGCCUGCACGAAGUCGGAAUUGCUAGUAAUCGUGGAUCAGCAUGCCACGGUGAAUACGUUCCCGGGCCUUGUACACACCGC
RNAcentral lists this ribosomal RNA (1057 nucleotides) under uncultured bacterium. Its description in RNAcentral is "bacterial SSU rRNA". It matches the Rfam family "Bacterial small subunit ribosomal RNA", at positions 336 to 1393 of the family's 1533-position model. The record is from RNAcentral.